This 73-nucleotide transfer RNA is filed under the name Armillaria ostoyae. It matches the Rfam family "tRNA". From Rfam's summary of the family: Transfer RNA (tRNA) molecules are approximately 80 nucleotides in length. Their secondary structure includes four short double-helical elements and three loops (D, anti-codon, and T loops). The record is from RNAcentral. Lineage: Eukaryota; Fungi; Basidiomycota; Agaricomycetes; Agaricales; Physalacriaceae. RNAcentral also lists the same sequence under 4 other names.
GGGCACUUGGCACAGUUGGUAGCGCGCACGCUUCGCAUGCGUGAGGUCGUGGGUUCAACUCCCACAGUGUCCA